This 464-nucleotide ribosomal RNA is filed under the name uncultured bacterium. Its description in RNAcentral is "bacterial SSU rRNA". It matches the Rfam family "Bacterial small subunit ribosomal RNA", at positions 355 to 834 of the family's 1533-position model. The record is from RNAcentral.
UGGGGAAUAUUGCACAAUGGGCGCAAGCCUGAUGCAGCAAUGCCGCGUGAGUGAAGACGGCCUUAGGGUCGUAAAGCUCUUUCGCCUGUGAAGAUAAUGACGGUAGCAGGUAAAGAAACCCCGGCUAACUCCGUGCCAGCAGCCGCGGUAAUACGGAGGGGGUUAGCGUUGUUCGGAAUUACUGGGCGUAAAGCGCACGUAGGCGGACCAGAAAGUUGGGGGUGAAAUCCCGGGGGCUCAACCCCGGAACUGCCUCCAAAACUAUUGGUCUAGAGUUCGAGAGAGGUGAGUGGAAUUCCAAGUGUAGAGGUGAAAUUCGUAGAUAUUUGGAGGAACACCAGUGGCGAAGGCGGCUCACUGGCUCGAUACUGACGCUGAGGUGCGAAAGUGUGGGGAGCAAACAGGAUUAGAUACCCUGGUAGUCCACACCGUAAAACGAUGAAUGCCAGUCGUCGGGUAGCAUG